This 28-nucleotide small RNA is filed under the name Bombyx mori (domestic silkworm). RNAcentral describes it as "ovarian small RNA-35631". The record is from RNAcentral. Lineage: Eukaryota; Metazoa; Arthropoda; Insecta; Lepidoptera; Bombycidae.
UGUCAUCCGCAUAGCAAUGCAUGCCAUC